GCCUCCGUAGCUCAGUUGGUUAGAGCAUCCGACUCUUAAUCGGGUGGCCGUGGGUUCGAGUCCCACUGGGGGCA
This 74-nucleotide transfer RNA is filed under the name Actinomyces graevenitzii. RNAcentral describes it as "tRNA-Lys". It matches the Rfam family "tRNA". From Rfam's summary of the family: Transfer RNA (tRNA) molecules are approximately 80 nucleotides in length. The record is from RNAcentral. Lineage: Bacteria; Bacillati; Actinomycetota; Actinomycetes; Actinomycetales; Actinomycetaceae.